Molecule: ribosomal RNA, 490 nt
Filed under: uncultured bacterium
Lineage: Bacteria
Description: bacterial SSU rRNA
Rfam family: Bacterial small subunit ribosomal RNA
Source: RNAcentral
GAUGAACGCUAGCUACAGGCUUAACACAUGCAAGUCGAGGGGCAGCGCAGUGUAGUAAUACAUGGGCGGCGACCGGCGCACGGGUGCGUAACGCGUAUCCAACCUUCCCGUUACUCAGGGAUAGCCUUCCGAAAGGGAGAUUAAUACCCGAUGUUGUUAUUUAUUCGCAUGUUUGAAUAACGAAAGAUUUAUUGGUAUAGGAUGGCGAUGCGUGGCAUUAGGUAGUAGGCGGGGUAACGGCCCACCUAGCCGACGAUGCCUAGGGGUUCUGAGAGGAAGGUCCCCCACACUGGAACUGAGACACGGUCCAGACUCCUACGGGAGGCAGCAGUGAGGAAUAUUGGUCAAUGGUCUAACGACUGAACCAGCCAUGCCGCGUGAAGGUCACGGCCCUAUGGGUCUUAAAACUUCUUUUGUAAAGGGAGCAAAUAAGCUUUACGUGUAGAGUGAUGAGAGUACCUUACGAAUAAGCAAUCGGCUAACUCCGUGC